RNAcentral lists this ribosomal RNA (615 nucleotides) under uncultured fungus. RNAcentral describes it as "eukaryotic LSU rRNA". The stretch from base 158 to 312 matches the Rfam family "5.8S ribosomal RNA". The record is from RNAcentral. Lineage: Eukaryota; Fungi.
UCCGUAGGUGAACCUGCGGAAGGAUCAUUAACAAAUCUCAAAACAGUUUUGCCCAUGAUGAGUCUGUGGAGGCGAAAGUAUCCAUAGCCAGUCAUGGGUAUCACACAAACACAUAUUGAUUGACACAUUUCAGAAGACCAAGAACUUAAAUGUUAACAACUUUUAACAAUGGAUCUCUUGGCUCUUGCAACGAUGAAGAACGCAGCAAACUGCGAAACGUAAUGUGACCUGCAAUCUUCGUGAAUCAUCCAAUCUUUGAACGCAAUUUGCACCUCGUCGCUUCGGUGACAAGGUAUACUUGUUUGAGUAUCACAAACAACCUCACCCUCCCUUUUGGGCAUGUGGACUUGAGAGUUCUACUUUGCGGUAGUCUCUUUAAAAUCAGGUUUUGAAGUCUCAGCAUGAGAUGAUUAUUGGGAUAACAUCCUAACAAUAGUCAUUGUUUUGACUUGAACUCUUCAAUGGGUACAAAGCCACCUGUUCGCAGCAUCGCAAGGUGUUGUGACCAUCACUUUUAAGUUGAUCUCAAAUCAAGUAGGGAUACCGCUGAACUUAAGGCAUAUCAAUAAGGCGGGAGGGGAAGGUCGACUGGCCAAGGGCACACAGGGGGGGAUA